Molecule: long non-coding RNA, 422 nt
Organism: Eurytemora carolleeae
Lineage: Eukaryota; Metazoa; Arthropoda; Copepoda; Calanoida; Temoridae
Exons: 3
Source: RefSeq, a predicted model, not a curated record
UUUUAAGAAUACCAUUGUGCAUUGCCUUCUUUGUACGGAGGUUAAUAUAAAUUUGGCUUACAGUCCCUUUAAUCCGUUUUUAAAACUUUGGAAACAGGAGAAACUCUAUAUUUGAUCAGGAUAAGUCGGUUGGGACAGAAGAGAAGAAUGAGACUGAAAAAUUCAGGAGAAAAAAAAUUAAGAAUGAUGCUUCAAAAAUAAAGGACAGUGCUGGAGAAACCCCGGUCCCAAACAAAGACGACUUAUCAUCAGAAGAAUUUGAAACUAAAGCUGCUGCUGGAGACACAGACGAGAUUUUUAUGGAUUUAGUUUUGAAACAAAGAAUUGCAAGACGGAUUGUAAGGAAUUUCCGAGAGAAACGAAGAAGAGAGAAUUUUCUAGAUUUAAUUUUGAAAAAAAGAAUUGCAAGACGAAUAUUAAGG